GGAAGGAGAGUCGCUCCCAGAUAGCCCUCACAAGUGGCCCUGGAGCAGGAAGUGGUGAAGCAGAUCUUCCUUGUUUGGGAGGAGCCUGAGGUGGACCUCUCGUCCUGAGUCUGGAAGCUUCUCCUUUUCUGAUCAUACCUGCUGGCAAUAGGGAUGGCCCUACAGUCUAGAAUGAUAUAGGGGGAG
This 186-nucleotide long non-coding RNA is filed under the name Dasypus novemcinctus (nine-banded armadillo). Its description in RNAcentral is "lncRNA (ENSDNOG00000052333.1)". Lineage: Eukaryota; Metazoa; Chordata; Mammalia; Cingulata; Dasypodidae. The record is from RNAcentral.